This 88-nucleotide non-coding RNA is filed under the name human gut metagenome. Its description in RNAcentral is "SAM riboswitch (S box leader)". It matches the Rfam family "SAM riboswitch aptamer (S box leader)". From Rfam's summary of the family: The SAM riboswitch is found upstream of a number of genes which code for proteins involved in methionine or cysteine biosynthesis in Gram-positive bacteria. The SAM riboswitch acts at the level of transcription termination control. The record is from RNAcentral.
CUUAUCAAGAGUGGUGGAGGGAACGGCCCGAUGAAACCCAGCAACCUGUUAAUCAAGGUGCUAAAUCCGGCGGCAAACGAAAGAUGAG